This 67-nucleotide transfer RNA is filed under the name Methanothrix harundinacea 6Ac. RNAcentral's name for it is "tRNA-Und (NNN) (tRNA-Und-NNN-2-1)". Lineage: Archaea; Methanobacteriati; Methanobacteriota; Methanomicrobia; Methanotrichales; Methanotrichaceae. The record is from RNAcentral.
GAUAGUCGCUAGGUUCAGGGCCUAGUCUCGCAGGAGUUCGUGGGUUCGAAUCCCAUCCCCCGCACCA